Molecule: long non-coding RNA, 1008 nt
Filed under: Callithrix jacchus (white-tufted-ear marmoset)
Lineage: Eukaryota; Metazoa; Chordata; Mammalia; Primates; Cebidae
Description: lncRNA (ENSCJAG00000074254.1)
Source: RNAcentral
AUACAAAUGGAGUGCCUGAUAGAAGGGACUGCUGUGAGGAAGAUCUCCAUGAGAAACGCUGCUUCUGCUAAAACAGUCAGCAGAGCCACUGUAUUACAUCAUUGUUCCUUUGAAAGAUUCAGGACACACAGAACCAGUAUAUCUUCGUUAGAACAGAAGCUCAUUCAAUGAAAUUGUUUGGCUUUCAAUCAAGAGUGGCUUUAAAGCAGGACGGGAUGGCCCAGCUGGAGCUGCUUAACAUGACAAGGCUGAAGAUCAGGAAACAUGCAUUUGGACCGAGCGUCUCCUCCACAAUCUGAUGGCAUGCACCUCAGUGGUCUCAUGCGAGUGGCCAUUCCCUCGACAACAAAGGUAACCUAAGUAGAAAGUUUGGUGGAAAACAACCGGAUACAAACCAGAUGGUGGCAGAUGGAAGAGAGAAGAGGGAAACAGACUAUGGACUCCUGAGGGCAGAGUCACCAAGACAGGGAAGUCAGAAUCAGAAGAGGGCAGGAUUGAGAGUCGGCAGAAUGCUGUUUUUGGAAAUCUGUGUUAGAGACAUAUUUCUUUCUCUGCCAGCUUCCUUUGCUCUAGCUGUCACAAGUGCCAGGUGCAGCCUGCUUUCUAAAACUGUGGAGAUUUAAAAGAAAGACCUGGUGGCAUCUUCCAGGACUGAACACUAGCUGCUCUGAAGGCAGCUGUCCCUCCGUCCCUCUCAGUAUUGCCCAUCAGGCAUGUCAGAGAGCUCCUGCAGGAAGAUAUUCCAUUCCUUGGUUGCUCUCAGCCAAACUCACUUUUUGGCUUGUAGGUGUGUGCUUUUCUCUGUGGAGCUGAGUCAUGGCCAUCCUGGAGCUGCAGCCCCCAGAACAACUGGUAGGGUGAUUGCAUCUAACACAGUUCUCACCUGAGUGUAGCCACCGGUCAGGAUGCCCAUGAAUCUGCAUGUGGCUCUUCCAUCACUUAGGGUACCCAGAAAGAUCCCUCUUAAAAUGCUCCACACAGAACUUAUAGCAUGAUGCCACGAAAUCU